AGUGGCGUACGGGUGAGUAAUAUAUCGGAACGUGCCCAGUCGUGGGGGAUAACGUAGCGAAAGUUACGCUAAUACCGCAUACGAUCUACGGAUGAAAGCGGGGGAUCGCAAGACCUCGCGCGAUUGGAGCGGCCGAUAUCAGAUUAGGUAGUUGGUGGGGUAAAGGCUCACCAAGCCAACGAUCUGUAGCUGGUCUGAGAGGACGACCAGCCACACUGGAACUGAGACACGGUCCAGACUCCUACGGGAGGCUGCAGUGGGGAAUUUUGGACAAUGGACGCAAGUCUGAUCCAGCCAUUCCGCGUGCAGGAUGAAGGCCCUCGGGUUGUAAACUGCUUUUGUACGGAACGAAAAGGUUUCCAUUAAUACUGGGAGCUCAUGACGGUACCGUAAGAAUAAGCACCGGCUAACUACGUGCCAGCAGCCGCGGUAAUACGUAGGGUGCAAGCGUUAAUCGGAAUUACUGGGCGUAAAGCGUGCGCAGGCGGUUAUGUAAGACAGAGGUGAAAUCCCCGGGCUCAACCUGGGAACUGCCUUUGUGACUGCAUAGCUAGAGUACGGUAGAGGGGGAUGGAAUUCCGCGUGUAGCAGUGAAAUGCGUAGAUAUGCGGAGGAACACCGAUGGCGAAGGCAAUCCCCUGGACCUGUACUGACGCUCAUGCACGAAAGCGUGGGGAGCAAACAGGAUUAGAUACCCUGG
RNAcentral lists this ribosomal RNA (700 nucleotides) under uncultured beta proteobacterium. Its description in RNAcentral is "bacterial SSU rRNA". It matches the Rfam family "Bacterial small subunit ribosomal RNA", at positions 94 to 790 of the family's 1533-position model. Lineage: Bacteria; Pseudomonadati; Pseudomonadota; Betaproteobacteria. The record is from RNAcentral.